RNAcentral lists this long non-coding RNA (1435 nucleotides) under Panax ginseng (ginseng). RNAcentral's name for it is "long non-coding RNA (PGIN_LNC007394)". The record is from RNAcentral. Lineage: Eukaryota; Viridiplantae; Streptophyta; Magnoliopsida; Apiales; Araliaceae.
UAUAAUUUAUAAUUAUUAUAAUUUACUAUAUAAAAAAAAACCACCAUUAGCGCACAACUACUCCACCAAUAUUAGAACCACCACUACUCCACCAUCAAAACCAUCACGUCAACACCACCGCCUCACCUUCAUUAUCAUAGAACCAUAAAAAUCUACACAUCGCCAACAAAAUCAGCGCCUCACCACCGUCGUUCACAAUUAGAUCUAGUGCCUAACCCAUUCAAUCUCAUUAUGUCAUUAAAAAAUUACUUAAAUCAUGAUCUCAAUCGAGUUUUCGAUCUGAAUAUACCCCACUCCGAUCUAUCAUCAAGAGGUAAACCCAUUCAUUCUCGCCCGAUGCCUUCACCUUCUCCAUUCUCCUCGCCGCCGAUUCCUCUACGAAAUUCACCGUAACUAGAACCUGAAUAGUAGUUUGGUCGCAAAUAUAGGAAAAGGUGUUGAAGGAAGUGGCGGUUGAGAGAGAAGUUAAACCCUUUUCGUCAUUUCAGAUCUAAAACCCCCUGCAUAAAUAAUUUCUGAGAGCUUUUUAAAUUCAUCAUCAUCACUUUCUUAAUUUCAAUUCAUCCACCAAACAUAUAACAGAGCAUAGAUCAAGAACAACAAAAAUAGGAGAGAGAAAAAAAGUUCUAACAGUGUACAAACUUGAAAAAGAAAAAGAAGAAGAAGACGGGUUUUGAAUUUUCAAUCCUUAAAAGUGAAGAACAAAUGGUCACUUACAUGGUGACUAUGGUAUGAAACAAAUGGUCACUUACAACACUAAAUCCACCAUUGCCAGAGAAACAAAACUAAGAUAUGAACCACAAAAAUAAAAAACUCAAAUUCAUUUUACCCCAAAAGUUUCUUCUACCUUAUCCAACAACAAUCUGAACCAUUUAAAUGGUCAUUAUGGUAUGAAAUAUCAAAACAAACAUCAGAUUUCUAGAGUUAAUAAUCAGAUAGAUGCAAAUCAAACAUUGGAAGUAAGAAGGGGUUUUUAGUGGAAUUGAAUGUUCGGAGUCGGAGUCGGAGUCGGAGUCGGAGGCUGAGGUAGAGGCGAUGGCGUGGCGAUGGCGAUGGCGGAUCUGGAUGAGAAUUUGUGGCGGUGAAGAUCUAUUACGUACAUAUCUAUUGAAGAUCUGGUGAUUUGUUAGUGCGUCUUUGAAAUUGCAGGUGUGUAUUUAGACUAUCCUAAAGCUGGAGAAUUAAUUUGUUCUACACAAAACUGAAGUGCGUUUUGGGAGAGACGGAGGAGGAAGAAGAAGUUCUUUGAUUUUGGGUUGUAAAUCUUUUUCUUUUGGUUUUUAAUUUUUUUUACGCUUGAAUCUUUGGGUUAAUGAUUAUGAGCCUCAAAUGUUUGUCUAGGUGUCAACUCAGUCAGUAAAAAAUGUUUACGUGUUUGUCACGUUAGUCUAGAUGACAUGUUAGUUAAUAAAAGGAACUAAGUUGAUUUAAAAUU